GACGAACGCUGGCGGCGUGCUUAACACAUGCAAGUCGAGCGAACAGACGCGGAGCUUGUUCCUCUGACGUUAGCGGAGGAGGGGUGUGUAACACGUGGAUAAUCUCCUUAUCAGUCUGGGAUAAUCACGGGAAACCGGAGCUAAUACCGGAUAAUAUACUGAACCGCAUGGUUCAAUAGUGAAAGACGGUUUUGCUGUCUCUUAUAGAUGGAUCCGCGCCGCAUUAGCUAGUUGGUAAGGUAACGGCCUACCACGGCGACGAUGCGUAGCCGACCUGAGAGGGGGAUCGGCCACACUGGAGCUGAGACGCGGUCCAGACUCCUACGGGAGGCAGCAGUAGGGAAUCUUCCGCAAUGGGGGAAAACCUGACGGAGCAGCGCCGCGUGAGUUGUGAAGGUCUUCGGAGCGUAAUGCUCUGUUAUUGGGGGUGAACAAAUGUGUAAGUAACUAUGCACGUCUUGACGGUACCUAGUCAGGAAGCCACGGCUAACUACGUG
RNAcentral lists this ribosomal RNA (497 nucleotides) under uncultured bacterium. RNAcentral describes it as "partial 16S ribosomal RNA". It matches the Rfam family "Bacterial small subunit ribosomal RNA", at positions 28 to 507 of the family's 1533-position model. The record is from RNAcentral.